UCCAAGUUGGGGGCUCAGCAUUUGGCUUCUUCGGAAUUGUUCUGAUCUGAUUAGCAAAAGUGUUGAAAACAUAAAUUCGAAGUGUUUUCUGAACACAAGGAGGAUUUUUAAGUGCCUCCUGGAUGUCAACCUUCUUUCUAGAUAAGGCAGCAUCAACAUGAGCCUCAAAUUCAAGAAGCUGUGUAUACAAAGCAGACUCAGGGAGAAUUGCUGCCACUCUAUCUUGUAGUUGCUUCUCCGGAAGCUUCUGCUUCUUCCUGCGAGCUGC
This 268-nucleotide unclassified non-coding RNA is filed under the name Hevea brasiliensis (rubber tree). The record is from RNAcentral. Lineage: Eukaryota; Viridiplantae; Streptophyta; Magnoliopsida; Malpighiales; Euphorbiaceae.